GGAAGGAUCAUUGUCGAAACCUGCAGAGCAGAAUGACUUGAGGACUUGUGAAAAUGCGUAAGUGCGGGGUUGGAUUUAUAUCUUGGGUCCAACCUCGACGAACAAAAACACCGGCGCAGCAGCGCCAAGGAAUUCCGGAAAGAGAAUGCCAGCUUGCAAGUGUCUUUGGUGCUUGUGGGGGCGGCAUCAUCUGAAGCAAAAAUAAUGACUCUCGGCAAUGGAUAUCUCGGCUCUCGCAUCGAUGAAGAACGUAGCGAAAUGCGAUACUUGGUGUGAAUUGCAGAAUCCCGUGAACCAUCGAAUCUUUGAACGCAAGUUGCGCCCGAAGCCAAUUAGGUUGAGGGCACGUUUGUUUGGGCGUCACGCGUCGUGUCGCUCCUCCUGUGUUUUGGGAAGGGAGCGGAUCGUGGCCUCCCGGGCCUUUCCUCGGGCGUGGUUGGCCGGAACUCUUGCCCCGACGAUGUUCAAUGUCUUGGCGUGUGGUGGGUGUACCAAGUGUGCAUGAAAGCACGCCUAGUGCGGUCGAAUGUGGCGUUAGGACCCCUUUGGAGCCGGCGGAGUCGGCUCUCUGAUUGCGACCCCAAGUCAGGCGGGACUAC
This 599-nucleotide ribosomal RNA is filed under the name Cuscuta mcvaughii. RNAcentral's name for it is "eukaryotic LSU rRNA". The stretch from base 207 to 363 matches the Rfam family "5.8S ribosomal RNA". The record is from RNAcentral. Lineage: Eukaryota; Viridiplantae; Streptophyta; Magnoliopsida; Solanales; Convolvulaceae.